RNAcentral lists this ribosomal RNA (420 nucleotides) under uncultured bacterium. RNAcentral describes it as "bacterial SSU rRNA". It matches the Rfam family "Bacterial small subunit ribosomal RNA", at positions 355 to 774 of the family's 1533-position model. The record is from RNAcentral.
UAAGGAAUAUUGCUCAAUGGGAGAAAUCCUGAAGCAGCAACGCCGCGUGGAGGAUGAAGGGUCUAUGACUUGUAAACUCCUGUAAAGAAGGAAAAAAUUCCCAUUUGAUGGGAGAUGAUGGUACUUCUGGAGUAAGCCCCGGCUAACUACGUGCCAGCAGCCGCGGUAAUACGUAGGGGGCAAGCGUUGUCCGGAUUUACUGGGUGUAAAGGGUGCUCAGGCGGAUUUGUAAGUCAGAGGUGAAAUCUUACAGCUUAACUGUGAAACUGCCUUUGAUACUGCAAGCCUAGAGUAUGGAAGAGAGUGAUAGAAUAUCUGGUGUGGCAGUGAAAUGCGUAGAUAUCAGAUAGAACACCAAUGGCGAAGGCAGUCACUUGGUCCAUUACUGACGCUAAAGCACGAAAGCGUGGGUAGCAAACA